GGAACUGGAAGCGACGGCCGUGACGUAAGGAUAACUGGGCGUGGCUUACACGGAGAGGGGAAAGGCGCGCCCGGCCCCGCCCCUGGGAGUUGGCCGGCCAAUAGGAAGCGAGCGUUGACGUAGCGCUCUGGUCCCGUUACACUUCCUGAGAUUGGAGUUUGCGCGUCAGACGCCGCGGAGGAUCACACCGAAGGCGCAUCCCCCUCAGACAGGACCCCCGUUACUGUGCCCCAGCCACACUCGCAGCAUGGCCUUCCCCGGAUACGGAGGCGUGAGUAUGACAGGGCCGGCCGCGGGUAACCGUGGGAACCACAGCCUCCACAGACCACCUCUCCC
This is a non-coding RNA of Pelobates cultripes (western spadefoot toad), 336 nucleotides long. Lineage: Eukaryota; Metazoa; Chordata; Amphibia; Anura; Pelobatidae. The record is from the annotation of a GenBank genome assembly.